AAAAGGAGGACUUAGCUUCGGCGAAGGUCUUUAUUGAAGUCCCAGUGAACGGAGGCAGUAAAUACAACGGUCCAAAGGUAGAGAAAAUCCUUGUCGGGUAAGUUCCGACCUGAAUGAAAGGCGUAAUGAUUUGGGCGCUGUCUCAACAAUAGACUCGGUGAAAUUUAAAUUCCAGUGAAGAUGCUGGGUACCCGCGACAGGACGGAAAGACCCCGUGGAGCUUUACUGUAGCUUGAUAUUGAAUGUUUGUGCUGCAUGUGCAGGAUAGGUAGGAGACUUUGAAGUCGGAACGCUAGUUUCGAUUGAGUCACCCUUGAGAUACUACCUCUGUUGUAUGAACGUUCUAACUCUGAUCAGUUAUCCUGAUCGAAGACAGUGUCUGGCAGGCAGUUUGACUGGGGCGGUCGCCUCCUAAAAGAUAACGGAGGCGCUCAAAGGUUUGCUCAGAAUGGUUGGAAAUCAUUCGUAGCGUGUAAAGGCAUAAGCAAGCUUGACUGUGAGACUGACAAGUCGAGCAGGUACGAAAGUAGGACUUAGUGAUCCGGUGGUUCCGUAUGGAAGGGCCAUCGCUCAACGGACAAAAGCUACCCCGGGGAUAACAGGCUCAUCUCCCCCAAGAGUCCACAUCGACGGGGAGGUUUGGCACCUCGAUGUCGGCUCAUCGCAUCCUGGGGCUGUAGUCGGUCCCAAGGGUUGGGCUGUUCGCCCAUUAAAGC
This 716-nucleotide ribosomal RNA is filed under the name Oenococcus oeni. RNAcentral describes it as "bacterial LSU rRNA". It matches the Rfam family "Bacterial large subunit ribosomal RNA", at positions 1879 to 2594 of the family's 2925-position model. Lineage: Bacteria; Bacillati; Bacillota; Bacilli; Lactobacillales; Lactobacillaceae. The record is from RNAcentral.